Molecule: ribosomal RNA, 479 nt
Filed under: uncultured bacterium
Lineage: Bacteria
Description: bacterial SSU rRNA
Rfam family: Bacterial small subunit ribosomal RNA
Source: RNAcentral
AGUGAACGCUGGCGGCAGGCCUAAUACAUGCAAGUCGAACGGCAGCACAGUGGAGCUUGCUCCAUGGGUGGCGAGUGGCGGACGGGUGAGGAAUACAUGGGAAUCUGCCCAGUCGUGGGGGAUAACGUAGGGAAACUUACGCUAAUACCGCAUGCGCCCUUCGGGGGAAAGCCGGGGACCGUAAGGCCUGGCGCGAUUGGAUGAGCCCAUGUCGGAUUAGCUAGUUGGCGGGGUAACGGCCCACCAAGGCGACGAUCCGUAGCUGGUCUGAGAGGAUGAUCAGCCACACUGGAACUGAGACACGGUCCAGACUCCUACGGGAGGCAGCAGUAGGGAAUAUUGGACAAUGGGCGCAAGCCUGAUCCAGCCAUGCCGCGUGAGUGAAGAAGGCCCUCGGGUGUAAAGCUCUUUUGUCCGGAAAGAAAAGCACUGGGUUAAUACCCCGGUGUCCUGAACGGUACCGGAAGAAUAAGCACCGG